RNAcentral lists this ribosomal RNA (432 nucleotides) under uncultured bacterium. Its description in RNAcentral is "partial 16S ribosomal RNA". It matches the Rfam family "Bacterial small subunit ribosomal RNA", at positions 29 to 506 of the family's 1533-position model. The record is from RNAcentral.
AACGAACGCUGGCGGCAUGCCUAACACAUGCAAGUCGAACGAGACCUUCGGGUCUAGUGGCGCACGGGUGCGUAACGCGUGGGAACCUGCCCUUAGGUUCGGAAUAACUCCCCGAAAGGGGUGCUAAUACCGGAUAAUGUCUUCGGACCAAAGAUUUAUCGCCUUUGGAUGGGCCCGCGUUGGAUUAGCUAGUUGGUAGGGUAAAAGCCUACCAAGGCGACGAUCCAUAGCUGGUCUGAGAGGAUGAUCAGCCACACUGGGACAGAGACACGGCCCAGACUCCUGCGGGAGGCAGCAGUGGGGAAUAUUGGACAAUGGGCGAAAGCCUGAUCCAGCAAUGCCGCGUGAGUGAUGAAGGGCUUAGGGUUGUAAAGCUCUUUUACCCGGGAUGAUAAUGACAGUACCGGGAGAAUAAGCUCCGGCUAACUCCGU